This 576-nucleotide long non-coding RNA is filed under the name Sarcophilus harrisii (Tasmanian devil). RNAcentral describes it as "lncRNA (ENSSHAG00000027341.1)". The record is from RNAcentral. Lineage: Eukaryota; Metazoa; Chordata; Mammalia; Dasyuromorphia; Dasyuridae.
CUUGUGCUGGGGAUGAUAGGGUACAACAAAACGCUUUGCCAUUAUCAUUUAUCCUCCAGAGUGUGGGCGUAAAUAAUGUGCCCACAUUUGUGAAACUCAGAGGGAUCUCCAUGGAAACGCUUAAUCGCUGACAUUUAAACUCCUGGUGCUGAUAAGGAAAGCUGCUGCCUCUGACCUAUUGAGAACAGUUUAUCAAGGUGGAAGUUAACUUGAUUUACCCAGACUCAAUGACUGAACAAGAGAAUUGAUUAUACAGCAUUGGAAAAAGGAAGGGGAUUAUCAGAUCCAAAACUACUCUAGCACUCAAAUAAAAAGGAAGGUGUUCCCAAUAUGAGGGCAAGAGCUAUGGACAAAAUCAGUAGUUGAAACAAUGAAAUAGAAUCCAAAAAAAUAUAGAGACAAAGAAUGUUUCUAUGCCACAUAGAGAAGAAUAUCAAUAUGUUUUCACCAAUCAUUCAAUCAACCAGAAUUGAGUGAAUGUGUCUAGAGGGACAGAUAUCAUCAGAACUCUGGAGACCCCAUCUGCCAGUGCAAGUAGGUGGUUGAGAGAAUGACUUCAAGCUUAUAUGUGUCGUA